AUGUGGCGGGCUGACCACUGGCAGGACAGUGGGGUGGGGCAGAUCCUCCACAGAGGGGCAGGGGGACAGCCAGGCACAGUGCUGGGAAAGACAAGGGAAGACAUUCCAUCUCGAGCCGGGAACCAGGGGGAGGUGGCCUGUGGCCAGGAGUCCGGGGCCUGGUGCAGGACCCACGGGAACAGGGGCCAACCUUGCCUGCAGGCAAAAGCAGCGAGGAAGCACUGGGGCCAGGAAGGCAGAGCCCAGUGCCUGGGGCUGUGCAGGAGCCCUGCACCGGGCACCCCUGCACACGCGACCUUGGCAGAGCCCAGUGCCUGGGGCUGUGCAGGAGUCCCAUCCCCUCAGGCCCUAGGCCCCGCACCAGGCACCCCUGCACACGCGACCUUGGCAGCUCCCAGCUUCUCUGCUGUUAGGUGUCCCAGCAUCCCCUGCCUGUGCUUCAUCGAGAACCCCCGAGGACAUCAGCCCACAAGGAAGGUGUCCCUCACAGUGGAGGACAAGCAGAGCACAGCAGACAAUGCUGGGGGCCCCUCCCCGGAGGCUGGACACCGCCCCACACGAGCCCUCCCAGGGGCUGGACACCGCCCCACACGAGCCCUCCCAGAGGCUGGACACCGCCCCACACGAGCCCUCCCAGGGGCUGGACACUGUGCCCCACACGAGCCCUCCCCGGAGGCUGGACACCGCCCCACACGAGCCCUCCCAGGGGCUGGACACCGCCCCACACGAGCCCUCCCAGGGGCUGGACACUGUGCCCCACACGAGCCCUCCCAGGGGCUGGACACCGCCCCACACGAGCCCUCCCAGGGGCUGGACACUGUGCCCCACACGAGCCCUCCCAGGGGCUGGACACUGUGCCCCACACGAGCCCUCCCAGGGGCUGGACACCGCCCCACACGAGCCCUCCCAGGGGCUGGACACCGCCCCACACGAGCCCUCCCAGGGGCUGGACACUGUGCCCCACACGAGCCCUCCCAGGGGCUGGACACUGUGCCCUACACGAGCCCUCCCAGGGGCUGGACACUGUGCCCCACACGAGCCCUCCCAGGGGCUGGACACCGCCCCACACGAGCCCUCCCAGGGGCUGGACACCGCCCCACACGAGCCCUCCCAGGGGCUGGACACUGUGCCCCACACGAGCCCUCCCAGGGGCUGGACACCGCCCCACACGAGCCCUCCCAGGGGCUGGACACCGCCCCACACGAGCCCUCCCAGGGGCUGGACACUGUGCCCUACACGAGCCCUCCCAGGGGCUGGACACUGUGCCCCACACGAGCCCUCCCAGGGGCUGGACACUGUGCCCCACACGAGCCCUCCCAGGGGCUGGACACUGUGCCCCACACGAGCCCUCCCAGGGGCUGGACACUGUGCCCCACACGAGCCCUCCCAGGGGCUGGACACUGUGCCCCACACGAGCCCUCCCAGGGGCUGGACACUGUGCCCCACACGAGCCCUCCUGCCUGCUCCCCAGGAGCACCUGCCAGGGCCGAGCGGCCUGGGGACAGCAUCCCGUCCUGGCAUUUAUUUAUUAAUUUAUAUAUUUGA
RNAcentral lists this long non-coding RNA (1545 nucleotides) under Oryctolagus cuniculus (rabbit). RNAcentral's name for it is "lncRNA (ENSOCUG00000035494.1)". Lineage: Eukaryota; Metazoa; Chordata; Mammalia; Lagomorpha; Leporidae. The record is from RNAcentral.